AUUGAACGCUGGCGGCAUGCUUUACACAUGCAAGUCGAACGGCAGCGGGGUAGUGCUUGCACUACUGCCGGCGAGUGGCGAACGGGUGAGUAAUAUAUCGGAACGUACCGAGUAAUGGGGGAUAACCAAUCGAAAGAUUGGCUAAUACCGCAUACGUCCUGAGGGAGAAAGCGGGGGAUCGCAAGACCUUGCGUUAUUCGAGCGGCCGAUAACUGAUUAGCUAGUUGGUGGGGUAAAGGCCUACCAAGGCGACGAUCAGUAGCGGGUCUGAGAGGACGAUCCGCCACACUGGGACUGAGACACGGCCCAGACUCCUACGGGAGGCAGCAGUGGGGAAUUUUGGACAAUGGGGGCAACCCUGAUCCAGCCAUGCCGCGUGUAUGAAGAAGGCCUUCGGGUUGUAAAGUACUUUUGUUAGGGAAGAAAAGGGAAGUGCUAAUACCACUUUUUGCUGACGGUACCUAAAGAAUAAGCACCGGCUAACUACGUGCCAGCAGCCGCGGUAAUACGUAGGGUGCGAGCGUUAAUCGGAAUUACUGGGCGUAAAGCGAGCGCAGACGGUUAUUUAAGCAGGAUGUGAAAUCCCCGGGCUCAACCUGGGAACUGCGUUCUGAACUGGAUAGCUAGAGUGUGUCAGAGGGGGGUAGAAUUCCACGUGUAGCAGUGAAAUGCGUAGAGAUGUGGAGGAAUACCGAUGGCGAAGGCAGCCCCCUGGGAUAACACUGACGUUCAUGCUCGAAAGCGUGGGUAGCAAACAGG
This 759-nucleotide ribosomal RNA is filed under the name uncultured Eikenella sp. RNAcentral describes it as "bacterial SSU rRNA". It matches the Rfam family "Bacterial small subunit ribosomal RNA", at positions 28 to 776 of the family's 1533-position model. The record is from RNAcentral. Lineage: Bacteria; Pseudomonadati; Pseudomonadota; Betaproteobacteria; Neisseriales; Neisseriaceae.